This 118-nucleotide ribosomal RNA is filed under the name Castor canadensis (American beaver). The record is from RNAcentral. Lineage: Eukaryota; Metazoa; Chordata; Mammalia; Rodentia; Castoridae.
GUUUAUGGCCAUACCACCCUGAAUGCACCCGAUCUGAUCUCAGAAGCUAAGAAGGGUGGGGCCUGGUUAGUACUUGGAUGGGAGACAGGGUCUGGUCAGCCCAGGCUGACCUUGAACU